UCCUACGGGAGGCAGCAGUGGGGAAUUUUGGACAAUGGGCGCAAGCCUGAUCCAGCCAUGCCGCGUGCAGGAUGAAGGCCUUCGGGUUGUAAACUGCUUUUGUACGGAACGAAAAGGUUUUCUCUAAUACAGGGGGCUAAUGACGGUACCGUAAGAAUAAGCACCGGCUAACUACGUGCCAGCAGCCGCGGUAAUACGUAGGGUGCGAGCGUUAAUCGGAAUUACUGGGCGUAAAGCGUGCGCAGGCGGUUAUGUAAGACAGAUGUGAAAUCCCCGGGCUCAACCUGGGAACUGCAUUUGUGACUGCAUAGCUAGAGUGCGGCAGAGGGGGAUGGAAUUCCGCGUGUAGCAGUGAAAUGCGUAGAUAUGCGGAGGAACACCGAUGGCGAAGGCAAUCCCCUGGGCCUGCACUGACGCUCAUGCACGAAAGCGUGGGGAGCAAACAGGAUUAGAUACCCUGGUAGUCCACGCCCUAAACGAUGUCAACUGGUUGUUGGGUCUUCACUGACUCAGUAACGAAGCUAACGCGUGAAGUGACCGCCU
RNAcentral lists this ribosomal RNA (543 nucleotides) under uncultured bacterium. RNAcentral describes it as "bacterial SSU rRNA". It matches the Rfam family "Bacterial small subunit ribosomal RNA", at positions 337 to 874 of the family's 1533-position model. The record is from RNAcentral.